UCUCUGCCCCGGCAAUUACCGUAACAGCGCCCCGGAGGACGGGCAAGAGCCGGUACCUGAGCCCCCGCCUGGGCCUCGCUCCCUGCCCGCGGGGAGCCGGGCCUGGCCUUGCGGUAGUCACAGGGCUCCGAGGAGAGGCUCACUGUGGAGUCGCCAUCGUCCACAUCGUUGUGAGCUCUCCACCCAGAUCAGGACGCAAUCAGAGCUCUGCGACACGGAGGGGGUGAGGAGGGGCCUGACGGCCUGUUUGGGCGAGGGGUCCCUGUCAUUCCGCUGGGGAGGGGAGUGCAUCCCUCCGGCUCUGGUUUCCCGCUAUAGUGCAGUGAGGUGGAGCACGGGGAGGCACCCACUGGGCAGAGAUGGCAAAUUCAUGUGUGUGUGACUGCCCCAAAACUCAGCAGAUGUGCAUCACUGUAGUGUAAUUACACAGAGACACUGUCAGCCUGAAGGAACCCAACCUGUAAAUUACACCCAUACUGAGUAUGGAAGAUUGGAAAGCAGCAAGGACAAUUUCAAACAGGAACUUCAAAACCAAGAUAGAACCAAAGACUUUUUCAGGAUGAAAGAACACAUGUAAGGAGGAUCAAGACCCUACAGUGAGAUCAGCCAUUAGCUAAUUAAAUAUGUGACUAAAAUUCAUCAUUUUAAAUAGCAGUCAUAUUGAUGGGGAGCAAUCUGGUCAGCAAACAAAUGAUAGUGGAUUUUUUUCCCCCCAUAUCUUCAGAGAGAAACAUUUAUCUUAAUAAGAUUCACUAUGCCAUAAUACACGCGGAAUAAGUCAAUGCUUACUAAUUAAAGGACAGUGUCAACCUGAUUUUCUAAACAGCUAAUUAAAAUAUGUAGCAUCGAAUACUGCACUUCUUGCAAAGUAUGCUGUUUAAAAAAUACAUCCCUGUAAAAGUUACUUGUUUUCCUAUUCCCUUGUGUUUGCUUUUUUAAUUGGUUUUUCAACAAAGGAGGAUCUGCUGAACCAAGGUUCUAUUUCUGUAUCCAGUUCCAUUAACGCACACCCCCGUACUUAGGUUGUAGGCCUGAAAGGCUAGGCAAGGAAAG
Pezoporus flaviventris is the source of this 1053-nucleotide long non-coding RNA. RefSeq lists it as uncharacterized. NCBI's taxonomy places the organism in Eukaryota, Metazoa, Chordata, Aves, Psittaciformes, Psittacidae. The record is from RefSeq and is a predicted model, not a curated record. The transcript has 3 exons.